UCUGUAGGCAGAGACUAGAAAAGAGUUACAUUACCUGGGUGAUCUGUGCAGAGAUAUGUCACAAUGUACCCUGUAGGCAGAGCACAGAGAAGAGUUGCAUCACCUGGGUGAUCAGUGCAGAGAUAUGUCACAAUGUCCCCUGUAGGCAAAGCCUAGGCAAGAGUUACAUCACCUGGGUGAUCAGUGCAGAUAUAUGUCACAAUGCCCCCAUAGGCAGAUCCAAGACAAGAGUCCGUCUCCUGGGUGAUCAGUGCAGAAAUACGUCACAAUGCCCCCUUAGGCAGAGCCUAGACAAAAGCCCCAUCACCUGGAUGAUUAGUGCAGAGUUAUGUCACAAAGUCCCUUUAGGCAGAUCCUAGACAAGAGUCCCAUUACUUGGGUGAUCAGUGCAGAGAUAUGUCACAAUGCCACUGUAGGCAGAGCCUAGACAAGAGUUACAUGACCUAGGUGAUCAGUGCAGAGAUACAUCGCAAUGCCCCUGUAGGCAGAGCCUUGACAAGUGGUACAUCACCUGGGUGAUCAUUGCAGGGAUAUGUCACAAAGCACCCUGUAGGCAGAUCCUAGAGAAGAGUUAUAUCACCUGGGUGAUCAGUGCAGAGAUAUGUCACAAGCCCCCUGUAGGCAGAGCCUAGACAAGAGUUAUAUCACCUGGGUGAUCAGUGCAGUCAUAUGUCACAAUGCUGUGUAGCCAGAGCCUAGACAAAAGUUACAGCACCUGGGAGAUCAGUGCAGAGAUAUGUCACAAUGUCCCCAGUAGGCAGAGACCAGGCAAGAGUUGGAUCACCUCGGGAUCAGUGCAGAGAUAUGUCUCAAUCCCCCUGUGGGCACAGCCUAGACAAGAGUUACAUCACCUCGGUUAACAGUGCAGAGAUAUGUCAAAAUGCCCCUGUAGGCAGAGCCUACACAAGUAUUACAUCACUUAGGUGAUCAGUGCAGAGAUAUGUCACAAUACCCCCUGUAAGCAGAGCCUAGACAAGAGUUACAUCACCUGGGUGAUCAGUGCAGACAUAUGUGACAAGGCCCCUUUAAGCAGAGCCUAGACAAUAGUUACAUCACCUGAGUGAUCAGUGCAGAGAUCUGUCACAAUGCCCCUUUAGGCAGAGCUUAGACCAGAGUUACAUCACCUGGGUGAUCAGUGCAGAGGUAUGUCACAUUGCCCCCAUAGGCAAAUCCAAGACAAGAGUCAGUCACCUGGGUGAUCACUGCAGAAAUAUGUGACAAUGCCCCCAGUAGGCAGAACCUAGAGAAGAGUCCCUUCACCUGGGUGAUCAGUGCAGAGUUAUGCCACAAUGCCCCCUGUAGGCAGAGCCUAGACAAGAGUUACAUCAUCUGGUUGAUCAGUAAAGAGAUAUUUCUCAAUGCCCCUGCAGGCAGAGCGUAAGCAAGAGUUACAUCACCUAGAUGAUCAGUGCAGAGAUACGUCACAAGGCCCCCUAUAGGCAGAGCCUGGACAAGAGUUACAUCACCUCGGUGAUCAAUGCAGUGAUAUGUCACUGUGCCCCGUAGGCAGAGCCUAGUCAAGCGUUACAUCACCUGGGUGAUCAGUGCAGAGAUAUGUCAGAAAGCCCCCAUACACAGAGCCUAGACAAGAGUCCCAUCACCUGGGUGAUCAGUGCAGAAAUAUGUCACAAUGCCCCUAUAGGCAGAUCCAACACAAGUGUUACAUCACCUGGGUGAUCAGUGCAGAAAUAUGUCUCAAUGCCCCCAUAGGCAGAUCCAACACAAGAGUUACAUCACCUGGGUGAUCAGUGUAGAGAUAUGUCACAAUGCCCCCGUAGACAGAGCCUAGACAAAAGUCCCAUCACCUGGGUGAUCAGUGCAGAGAUAUGUCACAAAGCCCCUGUAGGCAGAGCCUAGACAAGAGUUACAUCACUUUGUUGAUCAGUUCAGAGAUGUGUCACAAUGCCCAUGUAGGCAGAGCCUAGACAAGUGUUCCAUCACCUGGGUGAUCAGUGCAGAGAUAUGUGACAAGGCCCCUUUAAGCAGAGCCUAGACAAUAGUUACAUCACCUGAGUGAUCAAUGCAGUGAUAUGUCACUAUGCCCCAGUAGGCAGAGCCUAGUCAAGCGUUACAUCACCUGAGUGAUCAGUGCAGAGAUAUGUCACAAAGCCCCCAUACACAGAGCCUAGACAACAGUCCCAUCCCCUGGGUGAUCAGUGCAGAAAUAUGUCACAAUGCCCCCAUAGGCAGAUCCAACACAAGAGUUACAUCACCUGGGUGAUCAGUGUAGAGAUAUGUCACAAUGCCCCCAUAGGCAGAGCGUAGACAAAAGUCCCAUCACCAGGGUGAUCAGUGCAGAGAUAUGUCACAAAGCCCCCAUAGGCAGAGCCUAGACAAGAGUUACAUCACUUGGUUGAUCAGUUCAGAGAUGUGUCACAAUGCCCAUGUAGGCAGAGCCUACACAAGUGUUACAUCACUUAGGUGAUCAGUGCAGAGCUAUGUCACAAUACCCCCGUAAGCAGAGCCUAGACAAGAGUUACAUCACCUGGUUGAUCAGUGCAGAGAUAUCUCACAAUGUCCCUGCAGGCAGAGUGUAGACAAGAGUUACAUCACCUAGAUGAUCAGUGCAGAGAUAUUUCACAAUGCCCCCUGUAGGCAGAGCCUAGACAAGAAUUAUAUUACCUGGAUGAUCAGUACGGUGAUAUGUCACUAUGCCCCCUGUGGGCGGAGCCUAGACAAGAGUUACAUCACCUGGGUGAUAAGGGCAGAGAUAUGUCACAAUGCUCCAGUAGGCAGAGCCUAGACAAGAGUCCUAUCACCUGGGUGAUCAGUGCAGAAAUAUGUCACAAUGCCCCCAGUAGACAGAGCCUAGACAAGAGUUACAUCACCUGGGUGAUCAGUGCAGAAAUAUGUUGCAAUGCCCCCAUAGGCAGAUCCAACACAAGAGUUACAUCACCUGGGUGAUCAGUGCAGAGAUAUGUAACAAUGCCCCCAGUAGGCAGAGCCUAGAGGAGAGUUACAUCAUCUGGGUGAUCUUUGCAGAGAUAUGUCACAAUCCUCCAAGUAAGCAGAGCCUAGACAAAAGUUACAUCAUCUGGGCGAUCAGUGCAGAGACAAGUCACAAAACCCACAUAGGAAAAGACUAGACAAGAGUUACAUCAUCUGGGUCAUCAGUGCAGACAUAUGUCAAAGCUGCCGUAGGCAGAGUGUAGACAAGUAUUACAUCACUUGGGUGAUCAGUGCAGAGAUCUAUCACAGUGCCCCCAUAGGCAGAGCCUAGACAAGAGUUCCAUCACCUGUGUGAUCAGUGUAGAGAUAUGUCACAAUGCCUCCUGUAGGCAGAGGCUAGACAAGAGUUACAUCACCUGGAUUUUGUUUCCUGCAAUAUGUCACAAUGGCGAGGGUGAGGGUUAGGGUUAGGGUGAGGGUCAGGGUGAGGGUCAGGGUGAGGGUCAGGGUGAGGGUGAGGGUCAGGGUGAGGGUGAGGGUUAGGGUUAGGGUGAGCAUUAGGUUUAGGGUUAGGGUUAGGGUUAGGGGUUAGGCUUAGGCUUAGGGUAAGGCUUAGGGUUCAGGUUCAAGUUUGGAUUCGGGUUCGGGUUCAGGUUAAGAGUUAGGGUUAGGGUUACGGGUUAGGGUUAGGGGUUAGGGUUAGGUGUUAGGGCUGGGUUAGGUUUAGGGUUAGGGUUAUGGGUUACGGUUAGGGUUAGGGUUUAGGGUUAGGGUUAGGGUUAGGAUUGGGGUUAGGUUUAGGGUUAGGGUUAGGGUUAGGUUUAGGGUUGGGUUAGGGUUAGGAUUGGG
RNAcentral lists this long non-coding RNA (3738 nucleotides) under Homo sapiens (human). Its description in RNAcentral is "HSALNT0246689". The record is from RNAcentral. Lineage: Eukaryota; Metazoa; Chordata; Mammalia; Primates; Hominidae.